RNAcentral lists this ribosomal RNA (460 nucleotides) under uncultured bacterium. RNAcentral's name for it is "partial 16S ribosomal RNA". It matches the Rfam family "Bacterial small subunit ribosomal RNA", at positions 338 to 795 of the family's 1533-position model. The record is from RNAcentral.
CCUACGGGAGGCAGCAGUGAGGAAUAUUGGUCAAUGGACGAGAGUCUGAACCAGCCAAGUAGCGUGAAGGAUGACUGCCCUAUGGGUUGUAAACUUCUUUUAUAUGGGAAUAAAAUGUUCCACGUGUGGGAUUUUGUAUGUACCAUAUGAAUAAGGAUCGGCUAACUCCGUGCCAGCAGCCGCGGUAAUACGGAGGGUCCGAGCGUUAUCCGGAUUUUAUGGGGUUAAAGGGAGCGUAGGUGGAUUCUUAAGUCAGUUGUGAAAGUUUGCGGCUCAACCGUAAAGUUGCAGUUGAAACUGGCGGUCUUGAGUACAGUAGAGGUGGGCGGAAUGCGUGGUGUAGCGGUGAAAUGCUUAGAUAUCACGAAGAACUCCGGUUGCGAAGGCAGUUCACUGGACUGCAACUGACACUGAGGCUCGAAAGUGUGGGUAUCAAACAGGAUUAGAUACCCCGGUAGUC